Non-coding RNA from Danio rerio (zebrafish), 100 nucleotides. The record is from Rfam. Lineage: Eukaryota; Metazoa; Chordata; Actinopteri; Cypriniformes; Danionidae.
AUCUACCGUCAUAUCAUCCUGCAGGCCAAGACCGGUUAGGGCUGAGCCUGGUCAGUACCUGGAUGGGAGACCACAUGGGAACACUAGGUUGCUGUUGGAA